GACGAACGCUGGCGGCGUGCUUAACACAUGCAAGUCGAACGAAGAGCGAUGGAAGCUUGCUUCUAUCAAUCUUAGUGGCGAACGGGUGAGUAACGCGUAAUCAACCUGCCCUUCAGAGGGGGACAACAGUUGGAAACGACUGCUAAUACCGCAUACGAUCUAAUCUCGGCAUCGAGGAUAGAUGAAAGGUGGCCUCUACAUGUAAGCUAUCACUGAAGGAGGGGAUUGCGUCUGAUUAGCUAGUUGGAGGGGUAACGGCCCACCAAGGCGAUGAUCAGUAGCCGGUCUGAGAAGAUGAACGGACACAUUGGGACUGAGACACGGCCCAGACUCCUACGGGAGGCAGCAGUGGGGAAUCUUCCGCAAUGGACGAAAGUCUGACGGAGCAACGCCGCGUGAGUGAUGACGGCCUUCGGGUUGUAAAGCUCUGUUAAUCGGGACGAAAGGCCUUCUUGCGAAUAGUGAGAAGGAUUGACGGUACCGGAAUAGAAAGCCACGGCUAACUACGUG
This 510-nucleotide ribosomal RNA is filed under the name uncultured bacterium. Its description in RNAcentral is "partial 16S ribosomal RNA". It matches the Rfam family "Bacterial small subunit ribosomal RNA", at positions 28 to 507 of the family's 1533-position model. The record is from RNAcentral.